Molecule: ribosomal RNA, 365 nt
Filed under: Haminoea sp. DTLT2001
Lineage: Eukaryota; Metazoa; Mollusca; Gastropoda; Cephalaspidea; Haminoeidae
Description: partial 28S ribosomal RNA
Source: RNAcentral
AAGAGUACGUGAACCGCCCAGAGGUAAACGGGUGGAUCCGCAAAGUCGGCCCGCGGGAUUCAGCUCGGCGCGCGGCUCGGGGCUGGUGCGGUACGGGAUCCCUGGGACCCGUCCGCGCCGUCGCACCGGCUCCGCCGUGUGCACUUUCCGCGGGCAGAGCGCCACGAUCGGCUUCGGGGCGGUGAUAAGCCCGGGGGGAAGGUAGGCGUGCGCUUCGGCGUGCGCUGUUAUAGACCUCCGCGGUGGACCGCUCCGGGGCCGAGGAACGACCGCCGCGUACGGCUACCCGUCUUUCUCGGAGAGUUCGACUGGCAGGGACUGGGUCUAACCGUGUCUGCCGACCGCUCUUGGGGUUUGGGCGGCGU